Actinia tenebrosa (Australian red waratah sea anemone) is the source of this 368-nucleotide long non-coding RNA. Lineage: Eukaryota; Metazoa; Cnidaria; Anthozoa; Actiniaria; Actiniidae. The record is from RefSeq and is a predicted model, not a curated record.
UAUUCAGUUGUCAUAAGUAAAUAGUAACUUCAAAAUACUUGAAUGUUGAAUGAAAAACCUCGUAAAAAGGGCGAGAAAUAAGAAAAUAGAAGCUGAAUAGGGAGCUCUGUGAAAGUAUUUGUGAACUGGUUUUAGAAAACACCAUUUUUUUUGUCAAACUGGGACUCAAAUAUUCUGCAGUGGCAACAGAAGAAAAAACGAAAACAGAUCAUCGAAAAAGUAAAAAUGUUCAGUUUUCCAAUAUUGUGGGUUUCAAGAUUAUGAGGAAACUCUGGAUUAUCUUCUUGUGCACAGUGUAUUUUAAUUGUUUGCUUGCAAAGGGAAAGUACUGCCAGUUUGAUUCUUGCAAAAAUGGUAGGUUUAUAUAA